Molecule: ribosomal RNA, 254 nt
Filed under: uncultured bacterium
Lineage: Bacteria
Description: partial 16S ribosomal RNA
Rfam family: Bacterial small subunit ribosomal RNA
Source: RNAcentral
UACGGGGGAUGCAAGCGUUAUCCGGAUUUAUUGGGUUUAAAGGAUGCGUAGGCUGUGAGGUAAGUCAGCGGUGAAAUGCCCCCGCUCAACGGGGUGAAGUGCCAUUGAUACUGCCUUGCUGGAAUGCGGAUGCCGUGGGAGGAAUGUGUGGUGUAGCGGUGAAAUGCAUAGAUAUCACACAGAACACCGAUUGCGAAGGCAUCUCACGAAUCCGCUAUUGACGCUGAUGCACGAAAGCGUGGGUAUCAAACAGG